AUUGCUUCUUUGAUAAGCUACCGUGCAUUUUUCUUAGGCAUGAAAAUUAAAGUGUAAUGUUAUUGUUUAGCAAAAGUUAGUCUUGCAAUGCAUCCAAAUAAGAUGUUUUUUCUUCAAAAAAGAAAGAGAGUUCCAAACACAUGAGCAUAUAUACACUCCCUCAUAUAGAGACUACAGUCAGUCAUGGGAUUUUUAACACCUUUUUUCAACGUAGGUAAUUAUUCACCAAGAAGCACGAAUUUUCCAAACUUUCAGCAAACAGUCAUUCCUCUUUCUUUCAAUACUUUUAAAUGCUUUUUAAAUUGGACAUGGAGUCUGAUGGUCCUCAUGAAGUCAAAAUUUUGAACCUCAAUGUAUUGCUUUUGGUUCCAUCAUUGGAAUUUUAUUGCUCAAUCCACUUUGUUGUUUGAAAUGA
This 415-nucleotide unclassified non-coding RNA is filed under the name Hevea brasiliensis (rubber tree). The record is from RNAcentral. Lineage: Eukaryota; Viridiplantae; Streptophyta; Magnoliopsida; Malpighiales; Euphorbiaceae.